RNAcentral lists this ribosomal RNA (319 nucleotides) under uncultured bacterium. RNAcentral describes it as "bacterial SSU rRNA". It matches the Rfam family "Bacterial small subunit ribosomal RNA", at positions 28 to 334 of the family's 1533-position model. The record is from RNAcentral.
GAUGAACGCUAGCGACAGGCUUAACACAUGCAAGUCGAGGGGCAGCGGGGGUGCAGGCUUGCCUGCACCUGCCGGCGACCGGCGCACGGGUGAGUAACACGUAUGGAACCUGCCCGCCACAGGGGGAUAACCCGGGGAAACCCGGCCUAAUACCCCAUGCCGCCCGGACCGGGCAUCCGGUCCGGGCGAAAGGAGUAAUCCGGUGGCGGCUGGGCAUGCGGCGCAUUAGCUUGACGGCGGGGUAACGGCCCACCGUGGCGACGAUGCGUAGGGGUUCUGAGAGGAAGGUCCCCCACACUGGUACUGAGACACGGACCAG